RNAcentral lists this non-coding RNA (29 nucleotides) under Rattus norvegicus (Norway rat). Lineage: Eukaryota; Metazoa; Chordata; Mammalia; Rodentia; Muridae. The record is from RNAcentral.
UGAGCGUUUGGGCAUUGUUUUGAAACAGA